RNAcentral lists this ribosomal RNA (459 nucleotides) under uncultured bacterium. Its description in RNAcentral is "partial 16S ribosomal RNA". It matches the Rfam family "Bacterial small subunit ribosomal RNA", at positions 338 to 795 of the family's 1533-position model. The record is from RNAcentral.
CCUACGGGAGGCAGCAGUGAGGAAUAUUGGUCAAUGGUCGGGAGACUGAACCAGCCAAGCCGCGUGAGGGAUGAAGGUACAGAGUAUCGUAAACCUCUUUUGUCAGGGAACAAAGGCGGGGACGUGUCCCCGGAUGAGUGUACCCGGAGAAAAAGCAUCGGCUAACUCCGUGCCAGCAGCCGCGGUAAUACGGAGGAUGCGAGCGUUAUCCGGAUUUAUUGGGUUUAAAGGGUGCGCAGGCGGUCUGUUAAGUCAGCGGUAAAAGCCCGGGGCUCAACCCCGGCCCGCCGUUGAAACUGGCAGUCUCGAGUUGGAGAGAAGUAUGCGGAAUGCGCGGUGUAGCGGUGAAAUGCAUAGAUAUCGCGCAGAACUCCGAUUGCGAAGGCAGCAUGCCGGCUCCACACUGACGCUGAGGCACGAAAGCGUGGGUAUCGAACAGGAUUAGAGACCCCAGUAGUC